Molecule: ribosomal RNA, 115 nt
Filed under: Salvia splendens (bonfire salvia)
Lineage: Eukaryota; Viridiplantae; Streptophyta; Magnoliopsida; Lamiales; Lamiaceae
Source: RNAcentral
ACGUUCAUACCAGCACUAAUGCACCGGAUCCCAUCAAAACUCCGAAGUUAAACCUGCUUGUCCGAGAGUAGUACUAGUAUGGGUAACCCCCUGGGAAGUCCUCGUGUUGCACCCU